RNAcentral lists this transfer RNA (72 nucleotides) under Bremia lactucae (lettuce downy mildew). RNAcentral's name for it is "tRNA-Val". It matches the Rfam family "tRNA". From Rfam's summary of the family: Transfer RNA (tRNA) molecules are approximately 80 nucleotides in length. The record is from RNAcentral. Lineage: Eukaryota; Oomycota; Peronosporomycetes; Peronosporales; Peronosporaceae.
GGAUAAUUAGCUCAAUGGUAGAGUAUUUCGUUUACACCGAAAAUGUUAGCGGUUCGAAUCCGUUAUUAUUCA